GAUGAAGAACGCAGUGAAAUGCGAUAAGUAAUGUGAAUUGCAGAAUUCAGUGAAUCAUCGAAUCUUUGAACGCACAUUGCGCCCGCCAGUAUUCUGGCGGGCAUGCCUGUUCGAGCGUCAUUACAACCCUCAGGCCCCCGGGCCUGGCGUUGGGGAUCGGCGGAAGCCCCCUGCGGGCACAACGCCGUCCCCCAAAUACAGUGGCGGUCCCGCCGCAGCUUCCAUUGCGUAGUAGCUAACACCUCGCAACUGGAGAGCGGCGCGGCCACGCCGUAAAACACCCAACCUCUGAAUGUUGACCUCGAAUCAGGUAGGAAUACCCGCUGAACUUAAGCAUAUCAAUAAGCGGAGGA
Molecule: unclassified non-coding RNA, 353 nt
Filed under: soil metagenome
Description: partial contains 5.8S ribosomal RNA, internal transcribed spacer 2, and large subunit ribosomal RNA
Rfam family: 5.8S ribosomal RNA (bases 1-120)
Source: RNAcentral